GUUAAAACACCAGUUCUCGUACGAUCACCGAAGUUGAAGCAACAUCAAGCCUGGUCAGUACCUAGAUGGGUGACUGCUAAGGAACACCAGGUGCUGUAA
This 99-nucleotide ribosomal RNA is filed under the name Acanthosepion pharaonis. The record is from RNAcentral. Lineage: Eukaryota; Metazoa; Mollusca; Cephalopoda; Sepiida; Sepiidae.